Long non-coding RNA from Sander lucioperca (pikeperch), 711 nucleotides. RefSeq lists it as uncharacterized. The transcript has 3 exons. Lineage: Eukaryota; Metazoa; Chordata; Actinopteri; Perciformes; Percidae. The record is from RefSeq and is a predicted model, not a curated record.
GAGUGUGGGGGCAUCGAAAGUUGGAUUUUACCGAUCUGAGAAGAACAUCCUGCUGCUAAGAUUAUCCAGAGUAGGCUAACACCACUUCUAAGAGGGAACCACAGUGAGCUGCUUAGAUGAAGUGGCUGCAGUUUGUGCCCAACUCCCAACACGUCAUCAAGGAUUUCAUCUAGACAGGUGCUUCCUGUCCGGACUUUGACGUAAAAUUAAACACAAGUCCAGAUGUGAAGUAUAUGUGUCCGCGAAAGUGUGUGUGCAUGUGUGUGCAUGUUUAAGACAGACAGAAAGGGGGUGAAACCUGUUUUCUGUGCACGACCUGGUCAUUUUAACACAGUUGAAAGAAGAAGGAAUGAAAAGAAAUAAAGUAAAACAGACAUACAGAAAAAGAGAGAGGGUAAUAAAGAGUGUGGCCAUGAAAGAGAAUUUGCGACAAAUGCAAUUCCAUGAUUGAACAAGUUAACUUUCAGUGAACCUAUUACCCCUAGAACUUAAGCACAGCACAGAGACGUGAAAUAUGUCUACUUUGUGUAUGCACCCCGCUCUUUAUUUUCAUGUGUUUUUCUCCUUGAAAAAAUACAAAAAGUUAGCCUACACAUCCACGUAGAAUACUGACAUUGUGAAUGAAACAGUGUAAAUCAUUGUAGCUUUCCCCAACAUAUACAGUAUUUGUGUCUGUGUAUCUAUCACGUACAGAAAAUGUUCAUUUUUAUG